CAGUCGCCACGGUAAUACGUAGGUCCCGAGCGUUGUCCGGAUUUAUUGGGCGUAAAGCGCGUCUAGGUGGUUAUAUAAGUCUGAUGUGAAAAUGCAGGGCUCAACUCUGUAUUGCGUUGGAAACUGUAUAACUAGAGUACUGGAGAGGUAAGCGGAACUACAAGUGUAGAGGUGAAAUUCGUAGAUAUUUGUAGGAAUGCCGAUGGGGAAGCCAGCUUACUGGACAGAUACUGACGCUGAAGCGCGAAAGCGUGGGUAGCAAACAGGAUUAGAUACCCCGGUAGUCCCUGUCUCUUAUACA
This 301-nucleotide ribosomal RNA is filed under the name uncultured bacterium. Its description in RNAcentral is "partial 16S ribosomal RNA". It matches the Rfam family "Bacterial small subunit ribosomal RNA", at positions 509 to 808 of the family's 1533-position model. The record is from RNAcentral.